UACAGAGGUCCCAAGCGUUGUUCGGAUUCACUGGGCGUAAAGGGUGCGUAGGCGGUCGGGUAAGUCUGAUGUGAAAUCUCACAGCUUAACUGUGAAACUGCAUUGGAUACUAUCCGGCUAGAGGAAUGGAGGGGAGACUGGAAUACUUGGUGUAGCAGUGAAAUGCGUAGAUAUCAAGUGGAACACCAGUGGCGAAGGCAAUCCCCUGGGCCUGUACUGACGCUCAUGCACGAAAGCGUGGGGAGCAAACAGG
This 253-nucleotide ribosomal RNA is filed under the name uncultured bacterium. Its description in RNAcentral is "partial 16S ribosomal RNA". It matches the Rfam family "Bacterial small subunit ribosomal RNA", at positions 524 to 776 of the family's 1533-position model. The record is from RNAcentral.